Molecule: ribosomal RNA, 460 nt
Filed under: uncultured bacterium
Lineage: Bacteria
Description: partial 16S ribosomal RNA
Rfam family: Bacterial small subunit ribosomal RNA
Source: RNAcentral
CCUACGGGAGGCAGCAGUGAGGAAUAUUGGUCAAUGGACGAGAGUCUGAACCAGCCAAGUAGCGUGAAGGAUGACUGCCCUAUGGGUUGUAAACUUCUUUUAUAUGGGAAUAAAAUGUUCCACGUGUGGGAUUUUGUAUGUACCAUAUGAAUAAGGAUCGGAUAACUCCGUGCCAGCAGCCGCGGUAAUACGGAGGAUCCGAGCGUUAUCCGGAUUUAUUGGGUUUAAAGGGAGCGUAGGUGGAUUGUUAAGUCAGUUGUGAAAGUUUGCGGCUCAACCGUAAAAUUGCAGUUGAAACUGGCAGUCUUGAGUACAGUAGAGGUGGGCGGAAUUCGUGGUGUAGCGGUGAAAUGCUUAGAUAUCACGAAGAACUCCGAUUGCGAAGGCAGUUCACUGGACUGCAACUGACACUGAGGCUCGAAAGUGUGGGUAUCAAACAGGAUUAGAUACCCGAGUAGUC